This 495-nucleotide ribosomal RNA is filed under the name uncultured bacterium. RNAcentral describes it as "partial 16S ribosomal RNA". It matches the Rfam family "Bacterial small subunit ribosomal RNA", at positions 28 to 507 of the family's 1533-position model. The record is from RNAcentral.
GACGAACGCUGGCGGCGUGCCUAAUACAUGCAAGUAGAACGCUGAAGGAGGAGCUUGCUUCUCUGGAUGAGUUGCGAACGGGUGAGUAACGCGUAGGUAACCUGCCUGGUAGCGGGGGAUAACUAUUGGAAACGAUAGCUAAUACCGCAUAAGAGUAGAUGUUGCAUGACAUUUGCUUAAAAGGUGCAAUUGCAUCACUACCAGAUGGACCUGCGUUGUAUUAGCUAGUUGGUGGGGUAACGGCUUACCAAGGCGACGAUACAUAGCCGACCUGAGAGGGUGAUCGGCCACACUGGGACUGAGACACGGCCCAGACUCCUACGGGAGGCAGCAGUAGGGAGUCUUCGGCAAUGGACGGAAGUCUGACCGAGCAACGCCGCGUGAGUGAAGAAGGUUUUCGGAUCGUAAAGCUCUGUUGUAAGAGAAGAACGAGUGUGAGAGUGGAAAGUUCACACUGUGACGGUAUCUUACCAGAAAGGGACGGCUAACUACGUG